RNAcentral lists this ribosomal RNA (274 nucleotides) under uncultured bacterium. RNAcentral describes it as "partial 16S ribosomal RNA". It matches the Rfam family "Bacterial small subunit ribosomal RNA", at positions 523 to 796 of the family's 1533-position model. The record is from RNAcentral.
CUACGGAGGGUGCAAGCGUUACUCGGAAUCACUGGGCGUAAAGCGCGCGCAGGCGGCCUGAUAAGUUGGAUGUGAAAGCCUACGGCUCAACCGUAGAACUGCAUCCAAAACUGUCAGGCUAGAGUGUGGGAGAGGAAGAUGGAAUUAGUUGUGUAGGAGUAAAAUCCGUAGAGAUAACUAGGAAUACCAAAAGCGAAGGCAAUCUUCUGGAACACUACUGACGCUGAGGCGCGAAGGCGUGGGGAGCAAACAGGAUUAGAAACCCCAGUAGUCC